RNAcentral lists this ribosomal RNA (631 nucleotides) under Trichoderma virens. RNAcentral describes it as "eukaryotic LSU rRNA". The stretch from base 251 to 404 matches the Rfam family "5.8S ribosomal RNA". The record is from RNAcentral. Lineage: Eukaryota; Fungi; Ascomycota; Sordariomycetes; Hypocreales; Hypocreaceae.
UGGAAGUAAAAGUCGUAACAAGGUCUCCGUUGGUGAACCAGCGGAGGGAUCAUUACCGAGUUUACAACUCCCAAACCCAAACGUUACCAAACUGUUGCCUCGGCGGGAUCUCUGCCCCGGGUGCGUCGCAGCCCCGGACCAAGGCGCCCGCCGGAGGACCAACCAAAACUCUUAUUGUAUACCCCCUCGCGGGUUUUUUACUAUCUGAGCCAUCUCGGCGCCCCUCGUGGGCGUUUCGAAAAUGAAUCAAAACUUUCAACAACGGAUCUCUUGGUUCUGGCAUCGAUGAAGAACGCAGCGAAAUGCGAUAAGUAAUGUGAAUUGCAGAAUUCAGUGAAUCAUCGAAUCUUUGAACGCACAUUGCGCCCGCCAGUAUUCUGGCGGGCAUGCCUGUCCGAGCGUCAUUUCAACCCUCGAACCCCUCCGGGGGGUCGGCGUUGGGGAUCGGCCCUUUACGGGGCCGGCCCCGAAAUACAGUGGCGGUCUCGCCGCAGCCUCUCCUGCGCAGUAGUUUGCACACUCGCAUCGGGAGCGCGGCGCGUCCACAGCCGUUAAACACCCCAAACUUCUGAAAUGUUGACCUCGGAUCAGGUAGGAAUACCCGCUGAACUUAAGCAUAUCAAUAAGCGGA